AACCUCCGCAAUGUGAGAAAUCGCGACGGGGGGAUCCCAAGUGCCAUUCUUAACGGGAUGGCUUUUCAUUAGUGUAAAGAGCUUUUGGAAUAAGGGCUGGGCAAGACCGGUGCCAGCCGCCGCGGUAACACCGGCAGCUCUAGUGGUAGCAGUUUUUAUUGGGCCUAAAGCGUCCGUAGCCGGUUUAAUAAGUCUCUGGUGAAAUCCUGUAGCUUAACUGUGGGAAUUGCUGGAGAUACUAUUAGACUUGAGACCGGGAGAGGUUAGAGGUACUCCCAGGGUAGAGGUGAAAUUCUGUAAUCCUGGGAGGACCGCCUGUUGCGAAGGCGUCUAACUGGAACGGUUCUGACGGUGAGGGACGAAAGUUAGGGGCGCGAACCGGAUUAGAUACCCGGGUAGUCCUAACUGUAAACGAUGCGGACUUGGUGUUGGGGUGGCUUUGAGCUGCUCCAGUGCCGAAGGGAGCUGUUAAGUCCGCCGCCUGGGAAGUACGGUCGCAAGACUGAAACUUAAAGGAGUU
RNAcentral lists this ribosomal RNA (520 nucleotides) under uncultured bacterium. RNAcentral describes it as "bacterial SSU rRNA". It matches the Rfam family "Archaeal small subunit ribosomal RNA", at positions 345 to 866 of the family's 1478-position model. The record is from RNAcentral.